This is a long non-coding RNA of Lutzomyia longipalpis, 7842 nucleotides long. RefSeq lists it as uncharacterized. The record is from RefSeq and is a predicted model, not a curated record. NCBI's taxonomy places the organism in Eukaryota, Metazoa, Arthropoda, Insecta, Diptera, Psychodidae. The transcript has 2 exons.
AGUCCCAGACCGAUCUCUGAAUGAAGCGGUGUUCGGCAAUCUAGUCAAAAAUAGACACCAUUACAAAGUGGUUAACUCUUGGUGCCAUCCAACACACAUUGUGCACAGAUAGACCUUUUCAACCGACAGUGUUGCACUUUGUUUUUCCGCCCACACAAAUCAAAGAAUUUCCAUCGCGUGCCUCACUGAAGGCAGAUUUUUUUUGUUAAAUUAACAAAUUUUUCCGCUAAAAUCGCGAAUUGUGCUAAAAUGUAAAAAUAUACGAGAAAAGAGAUGAAAAUUAGCCCAAGUGUGGUCUGAUGAGUGUUUUGCCGGUGUGAGGGACGUUUUGAUGAGAAACACUCUCGGAAAAUGAAUGAAGAGUAAAUUGGCAUUUUGUAUUUAUAAACUCCACGCGAGAAAUUUGUUUUUUUUUUCUUUACAAAAAAAGAUCUAAAUUCCACGUUGAAGAUUGAUUGAAAAUUUGCGCGGAAUAUUGCAAGAAGCACUGUGGCUGUUUUUUUUUACAACUCAACCAUGCUUGUUAUUCGCGCGCCGGAAUAUUAUUUUUAAACCAAACCGUAAAAAGAAGCGUUGGACGAUCAAGAAGUGUCAGUUUUCAAAAAUAACAUGAGUAAUAAUACACAAUUCGCACACUUUUCCCACCCUCCCCCUACAUCUGCAUUUUCUCGUUUUUUUUUCCUCCUCGACUCACUCGUCAAUUUAUUGGGCAAUGAAAAUGCACGAAAAUCCGCGGCAUAUGGCGUGAUUUGUCGAAGAAGAAAAAAUAAUAUGAAAUUGAAGUGAAGUGAUUUUUUUUCUUGCCACACACACACUCUGGUAGCAGCUGAUAAGAGACGCUCACGGCGAAAAAACAUUCAAACAGCCCCGAGAGAGAUAAGAAAAUCUCCCCGUGUGCGGGGUGACGGAAGGUGGGGUGGAAGAGCAUAAUAAAACAAAUGAGAACACGGCAGAAUCGAACAAUCAUUUGGUCAGCAAAGUGGCAGUGUAAAUUGCGUCCUUAAUGGAAAAAAUGUCGGAGGGUGAGUACAUUCAAUGUGGAUUUUUAUCUUUGUCCUGCCAAUUAAUGGGGGUGGAGGGUGAAAGACAAUAAAUUAAUUCUGCAAUGCGGGAAAUUUUGCACCCUCUCCGUAGAAGGGAGCUUGCGAUUUUUUUUGUCUUUUCUCAGCGCGUAUCCCUUUCAAUCCUUUUUUUGCUUUUGUAUUCACCCACAUCGUGAUGCUUAUUUUUGUGACAAUGUCGUGGAACACUCAACACAAUAACAUCGCGAGAUUCCUCUGCGAAUCCGCACUUUUCAGCAUUUCCCAGUCCCAUCUCCUUUCUUAUACAAAAGCUCACUCCAUCCAUUGAAACCCAAACAGCCUUUUCUUCUUUCUCCCUUCAUUGAAACCACCACUCGCCAACAUUUAUCACAAAACAACCCUUAGUGUGGGGGAUGUGGGUGGGAGCACACCCCCUCCCCCCCCCCCCCCCCCCCCCCCCCGGAGAAAUGAGAUGAGAGAAUGAGAGGAAAAAGCUCAAUGUCGAAGUUUGUUUGCAAUAAAUGGGCGGCAGAUGGGAAAAAAGCGGAGACAAGGAGGAUUGUGUAUUUUUUCUCAUUUCCAUCGCAAAAACACCCUCCUCCCCACAAUGUAGUCAUUCAAUUAAACCAAAAAUUCACCUCCCCGUGAAUUGUGUUGCCGAAAGAAGAGAAAAGGAUAAAAGGAGCGCCACAGAAGGGAACCCUCCUCCAUCCAAACCCAUAUAUACAGAAAAGAAUUCUCUGAGAAUGUAAUUUUGCUUUUGGUGGAGGCGACUCAGAGACGCAAUGUGGAGGUAGUAAAUGAAAGACUAAAGCUUUUCGAACCACCCUCUCCUCCAUCACCCCUGCACCCAAAUGGCAGACUGUGAGAGAAAGGAAGAAAAAAACAGAGAUUUGGGUUUUUGCGCAAAAAAAAAGCUCACAAUCGAGAUGAAUUGUGUUGUUUACAAUCCACUUGGUAUUUUCACGCGAAAAGCACUUUCCCGUGGAUGGGGGGUGAGGGUGGAAAAUGAAUGAGCAACUCAAUUCCAUGUUGAUAAAUUCCAUUUAAUUUGUUAAGUACUUGCCAACCCCCGCACCAACCCACAGUGACACAAUGUCGGGAUUUAUUUGUGUGUCGUCCAACACGGAAAAUUUCGGCACCAUCUGGAUGAGUCUUGGAAGAAGGAUUUCCGUGGGGUUAAAGCACCCUCCCCCACCCCCCGGGACCCCUCUCCGCACCCGUUCAAAAUGGAGCACUUAGCCUUUUUUGUGUGUGUGAAAAAUGGACGAAAAACGAGAGGGUUGAUGCCAAGACUUAUUGGAGUGUUUAUAUCCUGUAACUGGGAUAUUUUUGCACGUGAAGGAGCAAUUCAAGACGAAGUGAAUAAAAAGAGAUCAUUUUUCUCUUUGCACCCACCCCCUCGCUCCUCCAAAACACAUCCCCCAAUGCCAUGUUAUUUAUGACCCGGAAAACAAGGAUCUGUAAGGAUGGGGGACAGUACUCAAGUGGACUUGCUUGAAGGAGUUUCUCCGGUACUCUCGUCAAAUUCCUAAAGUACUCUGUAGAAUUUCAUGGGACAUUUUAGGAGAGAGACAGAGAAUAAUAUGGGAAAUGUUUUGCAGCAGGUAGCCAGAGCUAAAAGGGAAAACUAUGAUUUUCACCAUUUGAAGAAGCUUUCGGUUUGAGAGCAAACAUAAAACUCUCUUCUGUAAUAUUGAAAGUUGGUUGAUUUUGAUACACCGCACUAUAUGCUCAGAAAUGUUUGUGGUUAAGUGAUUCUUUGAUAAAUUCUAGACGUUAUUGCUGGAAUUCUUGAGAAAUAUCUGAAAUAGUAAAGGUUGUUUGUGGCAUUUUCUUAAUUUUAGAAUUAAACUACAAUAAUUAAAUUUAAUUAGGGAAGUUUAUUACUUUUCUUAAUGUGCAGGAUUUAUUGAAAUGUCACCUUAAAAGAUUCUAAAAAAUAAUGAAAAAAUAUUCAACAAUUAUUUUUAUAAUAAUUGAAUGACUAAAUACAAAGAAAAUAACAUUGGAAAUGUUUGCAAUUUUAAAGAAAAGUUUCAAGACAAUAGAUGGGGCACAAAUACCGAAUAUUUCCCAAAAGAUGGCGCUAAAAACACAUUUUUCCAUUACACUUUAAAUUAAAUUAGGAAAUUUUAUUAUUUUCCUUAUGUAAGAUGAAUUGAAAAUUUCACAUAAGAAUCCCCCAAGAAAAAACUGAAAUAAAUAUUCAAAAAUACAACAAUUCUUUUCAUAAGAUUUUCAGUAAUUAAUACACAAAAUUUUACAAAUAAAAAGAAAUAUUCUUACAUUUUAGACAAAAACGCAUUCAUAAAUUCCUUUUUACCACCAGAAAAUAUUUAAAAACUCUUCUAAUUUUCAAGAAUAACUGAAAGACAACAGAUUAUGUACAAUGAGCAAAAAUUUCUCAAAAGAUGGCGCUAAGAAAAAUUCCUCUUCUCCUUAACAGUGUUUAAGAGCUUUAUAAGAAAAAAUCCCUACAUUCCCUUUACGAUGACUGCAGAAUUUCUUUUCAAGAUUUGCUCUUGUCAUUUUAAGAUUUUGUGCUUCAUUCCCAUUAAAUUUAUGUGGUUGGCUGGCGGAAUGGGAUUUCUCUCGUCAAAUAGCAAGGAUAAGGCAAGACAAAAGGAAGCACCUACGCUGAAGGAACAUAAAUAAGGAUUCCCAUUGUUUUCCCUCACACACAGGCAGAAGAGGAAGAUGGAGCACUUCCCUUAAGGAACAGCGUCACUUCCUUUUGCGAAAAUUUAAUCCACAAGUACUAUGUGGCAAAGGAGAAGCAAAAAAAAAGAACACACAGUAGUGCCUUGGAGGGUUUAUUUAGAAUAUAAAUUGGGGAUAGGGCGAGGGUUGCCGUCCCCAGUGCCCCGGCAUUUCAAAAGCCCGGCUUUCAUGCGUUUUGAAGACUUUUUCCCCACGGAAAUGACGCCAGAGUGUGGGGGAUGGUGGUGGUUGGUUGGGAAAAAAUGUCGUUCAUCCCCUCACGCAAGAAAUUGCUUUUGGUGUCGCCAAGGAGAGUCGUCAACACCACUUGAUCCACUUCUUCGGCGAAGCAAUUCCCUUUUGCAAAGCUCCCCUUCUGUGAGUUUGAGACAUCGCAUCAGAAAACUAUGGAUUCCGCCACUGCUCUAAUUUGCAUAAAUUUUGAUUUCUUCCAGCAGAUAAAUUUCCCUCUGGCGCUACCCCCAAAAAGUACUACGCCGGUCUACCACGAAUUCCUCCGCGUUUCGGGGUUAUAGCGACAAAAACAACACCCAGUGUCUUUUUUUUUUUAUUUUACUGGCCCCACCCCAAUAAUGGGGCCCAGAGAAUAGAGACACAUUCAUUUUCGUUCACUGAUUUCAAUGUUAAUGAAAAAAAUGGAGUGUGAAAUUGGAUUUCUUUUUAUUACUUUUCUCUACUUCCCCCCUGCCUCGCGCCGUAGGAACUUUCUCUUCUCUGGUACAACAGUGAGAUGAAUGUGUGCACGUUGGAAUAAAUCCGGAGAAGUGGAAAAUUAUCUCUGUUUCAUCAUUUUCCAGCCAUGAGCUCUUUUGUCCGAGAUUUGCAUUAAAUCGCCAAGGGGUGUGUAAUUAUAUACAUACACAUAGCAUGUGAAAAUUAUUUAGAUUAUGCUUAUUCGCGGAAAACAUACAAAUGGAUUUUAUAAUUUAUUUCUUUUUCCCAAUUUAACUUUCAAAUGCCAGGAGUGUUGGAAAAUUUGCAGAGCGAGGUUAUUUUGAAAUAAAUUAUCAUUCGAUCCACCCCAUCUAUAUUCUGUGCGAGAAAAUUUUAUCUAACAAACAGAUAAAUCAUAGCAAUUACAUAAAAAGUUUAAAUGAAAAACUUCAAUGAAUUAUCUUCUCUUUUGUGGUGCAAAAUGUGAACCAAUAUAAAUGAAAUAAAAUUAGCUUGAAGAGUGGAAAAUGACAUAAUAUGUUGGGAAAUUUCUAUUUUACUUUUCAAUAAAUUUAUUAUUAGAAACUUUUGAGAGGAAUUUCGCGUGUGCUUGCAAACCCCUUGACAGUGGCUUUUGCUAUUUUUAUCCAUUAAAACUUUUCCGACUUUUCCCAUGUCGUUUGUUUGAGGAAAUCUCUGCUGUGGUUUGAUUUUAUUACAUUCCGCUCGAUUAUUGUGCACGAAGAUGUGUCUAUUCAUUGAAUUUCAUAUAAAUAUUUAUGUAUUAUGGAAGAUAUAGCAAAAAAUCUAUUAUUCACCCCUUGAAUAGUCUUGGAAUUUCCACUGAGGCUAGCAAACCUACACACAGAAAAAAAAUGACAAAAAGUGGCAGUCAAAUCGUCAAUUUUUGCGAGUGGGCCACUCGCAUAGACAAAAUACGAAUAUUUCACUCGCACUCAUUCGCACUAUUUCUCGAAAAUUUUCACAUUUAUUGGACCGAAAUUGAACAUUGAAUUCUAUAAAUACUGAUUUGCUCAAUCACUUACACCAAUUUAAAAGCAAUAUUUCUUCCAUAAAUAGCAUUAUUUGCCCAAAAUAGAUAAAUAAAAAUACAAUAUUAAUUGAUAAAAUUGACGAGAAGAAAGCAAAUGUUAUAGCAGAAAAAACAUUUAAAAGGUUUCUUUCACAAACACUAGCGCCGCGCGGAAAUUGGGCGGAAUUACCAAUUUUACACAUGAUUUUUAUUUUGUUAAUUUUUCAUCUGGAAAAACUAUUAAAACACCAAAAAUCAUUAUCUGAUCUCAUGUAAAGGUCCACAAAAAUAAAAUUUCUUCUCGAAAACAUAAAUUUUCGCAUAUUUUUUAAAGGAUGUCACAACCAUAGAAAAAAUAAUUUCUGCAACAGAAUUUCAUGACGAUAUGUCGUAGGAUAAUCCAUACUUUUUCUUUUUUCGUCAUUAAAUAAUUUCAUAAUGACUUUCAAAGUUUGAAUUAUUUUUUAUAAUUAAAAAAAAAAACAAAAGUUAAUUAAUAGACCCUUAAAUAAGGCUGUGUUACAAAAUCUUACGUCGCAGGGUUACUUUAAGAUAACUUGAACUACUUUAGAAAGGAUAUUUAAAAAAUAUCGUCAAAAACUAAUUUAACUUGAUAAUGUUUCAUAAGACAUUAAUUUAACUUUAUAAAAUAAAAUUUAAGUCAAUCGGACGAACAAUCCUAAACCGAAAUGUCCGAUCAUAAAUAUUAAAGCUUAUUAUAAGCUUAAUGGUAAAAUAUGAAAGUAUAUUAAUAUGGUUACGUUGAUCAAUUUUAGAUAAAAAUUUUUAAGCAAUUCAAAAAUGGCCGCCAUUUUAUCCGAACUUUUUUCCAACAAAUGUAAUGUAAAAUAAAUAUUUUAUUUUACAACCACGCUUUUUGGAUGAUGUUUCUCACAUUUCCCAUAACCAUAAACUUGUAUUUCACGCGAAUAUUAUUUUUUUUAUUUUAAUUAUUAAUUUAUUUGUUUUAAUUUAGGAAAAUAUAGAUCUUAUGAAACGUUAUAAAGCCCUAUUUUGUAGAAUCAAGGAUAUGAAUUUAAAAAAAAUCAAUAAUAGUUUGGUAUGCAAGAUGGCGGUCAAAAGAAUUUGAGGGCGAAAUCCCGACUGAAAAUCCUUUCUAAAGUAGCUCGUGUUAUUUUAAAGUAGCACUUUGCGACAUAAGAUUUCGUAAAACAGCUUAAUUUAAUUUUCUAUAAAUAAUUUUUGGUUUUUUUUUUGUAAUUAUAAAAAAAAUAUUUGCAAAAUUUUGUAAAUGAUUGGAUAUAUUAAGAAUUUAUUCAAUGACGAAAAGAGAAAAUGGUAUGGAUUAUCCUAUGACAUGUCGUCACGAAAUCUUUUUGCAGAAGUUAUGGGUCUAUUCACGUUUCUCAUGUCGAGAAAAAAUGAUCAUGACAUUUUUUCCUGACAUUUUUUUUGUCAUUCCCUCUCACUCCCACUAAUGUAUUUCCCUAUCUUUCGUCUUUCUCUGACCCAUGUUCACGACAUUCUUUUUCAAGCUCUUGUGAAGUGAACUUGUUUCUUAGUUUUCUUCAAUUUUCUCUGUGAAUUGUGAUAUUUUAUCUCGGGAAAAGUGAAAAGCUGCUUGUGGAAGUGUUCUUAGUGCCUGUGAAAGUGUGAAAAGUGGAAAAUCGUGGGUAUUUAUCGGCCAAAUAAGUGAAAACAGUGAAAUUUCGACAGCAAAACAUUCAUUCCCGGACCAAUUUAUUCCGCGUUCAGGUGGGAUUCCACCACCCAGGAAGCAUUUCCCUGACCCCACACAGACCUUCCGUGUUGCAGAUGACCUGUGGGAAGGUCCAAAAAACCUGCAGGAAGUGAUUUGUGUCGUGAAAAUACAGAAAAAUAUCUCGUAAAAAUUGGUCAGGGAAAGAAUGUUUUGAUUUUUCACUUCGCGCAUUUUCACAUAUUUGACCGCUAAAUGACCAUAAUUUUCCGCUUUUCACUGUUUCCCUGCCACUAUGGACUCCUUAGCUAAGCAUUUUCCACUUUUCUAUGAGGAAAAUAUCCCCAAAUGCUGAGAAAAUUCAUGAAAAACAUGUGCACAAGAAAAAAUGCAUGCCAUGAAAAAAAAUGUCGUGAUUAUGUGUCAGAAAAAGAUGAAAGAUAGUGAAAUACAUUAGUGGGAGUGAGAGGGAAUGACAAAAAUAAAUGUCAGGAAAAAAUGUCAUGAUCAUUUUUUCUUGACAUGAAAUUCCUGCAUAGCACCAUUAAUCUUUCAAUGGUGUAACAUCUUUUAUAAAAUGAUCCAAAAUCAUACGUGUAUGAUGAAAAUGCUUUUUUGUUGCAGGAAAACCAGAAAAAAAACGUGUAAAAACGUUUUCUGGACUGAAUAUCUCAUAUACCACGUCUCUAGAAAAUCGUGUCAGUGUUCUUUAGAUGAGGCAUUGCAGUAACGGCCAAAUUAAAAAUAAA